CACGUAGGAGGCAAGCGUUAUCCGGAUUUACUGGGCGUAAAGCGCGUGCAGGCGGCUCGGAAAGUUGGAUGUGAAAGCUCCCGGCUCAACUGGGAGAGGUCGUUCAAGACUUCCGGGCUAGAGGGUGGGAGAGGGAGGUGGAAUUCCGGGUGUAGUGGUGAAAUGCGUAGAUAUCCGGAGGAACACCGGUGGCGAAAGCGGCCUCCUGGCCCACCCCUGACGCUCAGACGCGAAAGCUAGGGGAG
RNAcentral lists this ribosomal RNA (245 nucleotides) under uncultured bacterium. RNAcentral describes it as "partial 16S ribosomal RNA". It matches the Rfam family "Bacterial small subunit ribosomal RNA", at positions 524 to 768 of the family's 1533-position model. The record is from RNAcentral.